AGUAACCUGCCCUUGACUCUGGGAUAAGCCUGGGAAACUGGGUCUAAUACCGGAUAGGACCUCCUGCCGCAUGGUGGGGGGUGGAAAGCCUUGUGCGGUCUUGGAUGGGCUCGCGGCCUAUCAGCUUGUUGGUGGGGUGAUGGCCUACCAAGGCGACGACGGGUAGCCGGCCUGAGAGGGUGACCGGCCACACUGGGACUGAGACACGGCCCAGACUCCUACGGGAGGCAGCAGUGGGGAAUAUUGCACAAUGGGCGGAAGCCUGAUGCAGCGACGCCGCGUGGGGGAUGACGGCCUUCGGGUUGUAAACCCCUUUCGGCAGGGAACAAGCCUUUCGGGGUGAGGGUACCUGCGGAAGAAGCGCCGGCUAACUACGUGCC
Molecule: ribosomal RNA, 380 nt
Filed under: Sinomonas sp.
Lineage: Bacteria; Bacillati; Actinomycetota; Actinomycetes; Micrococcales; Micrococcaceae
Description: bacterial SSU rRNA
Rfam family: Bacterial small subunit ribosomal RNA
Source: RNAcentral